UACAGAGGGUGCGAGCGUUAAUCGGAAUUACUGGGCGUAAAGCGCACGUAGGUGGUUGUGUAAGUCGAGUGUGAAAGCCCCGGGCUCAACCUGGGAACUGCAUUCGAGACUGCAUUACUCGAGUAUGGGAGAGGGCAGUGGAAUUUCCGGUGUAGCGGUGAAAUGCGUAGAUAUCGGAAGGAACAUCAGUGGCGAAAGCGACUGCCUGGCCCAAUACUGACACUCAAGUGCGAAAGCGUGGGGAGCAAACAGG
This 253-nucleotide ribosomal RNA is filed under the name uncultured bacterium. Its description in RNAcentral is "partial 16S ribosomal RNA". It matches the Rfam family "Bacterial small subunit ribosomal RNA", at positions 524 to 776 of the family's 1533-position model. The record is from RNAcentral.